UACGUAGGGGGCAAGCGUUGUCCGGAUUCAUUGGGCGUAAAGAGCUCGUAGGCGGCUUGGCAAGUCGGGUGUGAAAACUUCAGGCUCAACCUGGAGCGGCCACUCGAUACUGCCAUGGCUAGAGUCCGGUAGGGGACCACGGAAUUCCUGGUGUAGCGGUGAAAUGCGUAGAUAUCAGGAGGAACACCGGUGGCGAAGGCGGGUCUCUGGGCCGAUACUGACGCUGAGGAGCGAAAGCGUGGGGAGCGAACAGG
RNAcentral lists this ribosomal RNA (254 nucleotides) under uncultured bacterium. RNAcentral describes it as "partial 16S ribosomal RNA". It matches the Rfam family "Bacterial small subunit ribosomal RNA", at positions 524 to 776 of the family's 1533-position model. The record is from RNAcentral.